Long non-coding RNA from Gasterosteus aculeatus aculeatus (three-spined stickleback), 325 nucleotides. Lineage: Eukaryota; Metazoa; Chordata; Actinopteri; Perciformes; Gasterosteidae. The record is from Ensembl.
GUAUGUAUAGUGAGUAUGUGCUGCUGUUUCAUUGUUCUCUUCCCCUCUCAUUCCUACCCUCCCUCUUCGCUCUUUUCAGGUGCCACCGGCUCUCGACCGUGAGCUGACACUGAUGUGUGCUGUCACCUCUGCUGCACCUGGAGGUGGGACUGAAACGUAUUCGCACAGGACGGGAAAUCUCAGGCCUUUCGCAUGGUUUCCAUGGAUGAUUUCUAUCUGGACCCCGGUGGUUGUAUCUGGACCCUGGUCCUGCCCCCUGCUGACACCUGCUGCUGCUAUCGUUAUUAUUUCUCACAUCACCGUCCUCAUUAACGCACGUUUACCG